GAUGAACGCUGGCGGCGUGCUUAACACAUGCAAGUCGAACGAAGCACUUUAUUUGAUUUCCUUCGGGACUGAUUAUUUUGUGACUGAGUGGCGGACGGGUGAGUAACGCGUGGGUAACCUGCCUUGUACAGGGGGAUAACAGUUGGAAUCGGCUGCUAAUACCGCAUAAGCGCACGGCAUCGCAUGAUGCAGUGUGAAAAACUCCGGUGGUAUAAGAUGGACCCGCGUUGGAUUAGCUAGUUGGUGAGGUAACGGCCCACCAAGGCGACGAUCCAUAGCCGACCUGAGAGGGUGACCGGCCACAUUGGGACUGAGACACGGCCCAAACUCCUACGGGAGGCAGCAGUGGGGAAUAUUGCACAAUGGGCGAAAGCCUGAUGCAGCGACGCCGCGUGAGCGAAGAAGUAUUUCGGUAUGUAAAGCUCUAUCAGCAGGGAAGAUAAUGACGGUACCUGACUAAGAAGCACCGGCUAAAUACGUG
Molecule: ribosomal RNA, 481 nt
Filed under: uncultured bacterium
Lineage: Bacteria
Description: partial 16S ribosomal RNA
Rfam family: Bacterial small subunit ribosomal RNA
Source: RNAcentral